UACGUAGGGGGCGAGCGUUGUCCGGAUUUAUUGGGCGUAAAGAGCUCGUAGGCGGUUUGGUAAGUUGGAUGUGAAAUCUCCAGGCUCAACUUGGAGGGGUCAUUCGAUACUGCCAUGACUAGAGUUCGGUAGGGGAGUGUGGAAUUCCUGGUGGAGCGGUGAAAUGACGCAGAUAUCAGGAGGAACACCCGUAGCGAAGGCGGCACCUGCGGGCGAACUGACGCUGAGGAGCGAAAGCGUGGGGAGCAAACUGG
This 254-nucleotide ribosomal RNA is filed under the name uncultured bacterium. RNAcentral describes it as "partial 16S ribosomal RNA". It matches the Rfam family "Bacterial small subunit ribosomal RNA", at positions 524 to 776 of the family's 1533-position model. The record is from RNAcentral.